RNAcentral lists this ribosomal RNA (497 nucleotides) under uncultured bacterium. RNAcentral describes it as "partial 16S ribosomal RNA". It matches the Rfam family "Bacterial small subunit ribosomal RNA", at positions 28 to 507 of the family's 1533-position model. The record is from RNAcentral.
GAUGAACGCUGGCGGCGUGCCUAAUACAUGCAAGUCGAGCGAACGGACGAUAAGCUUGCUUCUCUGAUGUUAGCGGCGGACGGGUGAGUAACACGUGGAUAACCUACCUAUAAUUCUGGGAUAACUUCGGGAAACCGGAGAUAAUACCGGAGAAUAUUCUGAACCGCAUGGUUCAAAAGUGAAAGACGGUCUUGCUGUCACUUAUAGAUGCAUCCGCGCUGCAUUAGCUAGUUGGUAAGGUAACGGCUUACCAUGGCAACGAUGCAUAGCCGACCUGAGAGGGUGAUCGGCCACACUGGAACUGAGCCACGGUCCAGACUCCUACGGGAGGCAGCAGUAGGGAAUCUUCCGCAAUGGGCGAAAGCCUGACGGAGCAACGCCGCGUGAGUGAUGAAGGUCUUCGGAUCGUAAAACUCUGUUAUUAGGGAAGAACAUAUGUGUAAGUAACUGUGCACAUCUUGACGGUACCUAAUCAGAAAGCCACGGCUAGCUACGUG